UACGUAGGAGGCAAGCGUUGUCCGGAAUUACUGGCGUAAGACGCGUGUAGGUGGUGGGACAGUCUGCUGUGAAAGCGCCUGGCUUAACCGGGCGAGGUCGGCGGAAACUGUCCGACUCGAGGACGGUAGAGGGGGGUGGAAUUCCCGGUGUAGUGGUGAAAUGCGUAGAGAUCGGGAGGAACACCUGUGGCGAAGGCGGCCCCCUGGGCCGGCCCUGACACUGAGACGCGAAGGCGUGGGGAGCGGAACGGG
Molecule: ribosomal RNA, 252 nt
Filed under: uncultured bacterium
Lineage: Bacteria
Description: partial 16S ribosomal RNA
Rfam family: Bacterial small subunit ribosomal RNA
Source: RNAcentral